RNAcentral lists this ribosomal RNA (436 nucleotides) under uncultured bacterium. RNAcentral describes it as "bacterial SSU rRNA". It matches the Rfam family "Bacterial small subunit ribosomal RNA", at positions 384 to 810 of the family's 1533-position model. The record is from RNAcentral.
UGACGAAGCGACGCCGCGUGCGGGAAGAAGGCCUUCGGGUUGUAAACCACUGUCGGGAGUUAAGAAAUGCAAGGAUAUUAAUAGUGUCUUUGUUUGACUAAGGCUCCGGAGGAAGCCACGGCUAACUCUGUGCCAGCAGCCGCGGUAAUACAGAGGCGGCAAGCGUUGUUCGGAAUUAUUGGGCGUAAAGAGCACGUAGGCGGCUGUGUAAGUCGGUUGUGAAAGCCUUCCGCUUAACGGAAGAACAGCGACUGAUACUGCAUGGCUAGAGUGCGGGAGGGGAGAGUGGAACUUCUGGUGGAGCGGUGAAAUGCGUAGAUAUCAGAAGGAACGCCGGCGGCGAAAGCGGCUCUCUGGACCGUAACUGACGCUGAGUGUGCGAAAGCUAGGGGAGCAAACAGGAUUAGAUACCCCGGUAGUCCUAGCCGUAAACGAU